AUAGGGGAGCCGUAGGGAAACCGAGUCUUAACUGGGCGAAUGAGUUGCAGGGUAUAGACCCGAAACCCGGUGAUCUAUCCAUGGGCAGGUUGAAGGUUGGGUAACACUAACUGGAGGACCGAACCGACUAAUGUUGAAAAAUUAGCGGAUGACUUGUGGAUGGGGGUGAAAGGCCAAUCAAACCGGGAGAUAGCUGGUUCUCCCCGAAAGCUAUUUAGGUAGCGCCUCGUGAACUCAUCUUCGGGGGUAGAGCACUGUUUCGACUAGGGGGUCAUCCCGACUUACCAACUCGAUGCAAACUGCGAAUACCGAAGAAUGUUAUCACGGGAGACACACGGCGGGUGCUAACGUCCGUCGUGAAGAGGGAAACAACCCAGACCGCCAGCUAAGGUCCCAAAGUCAUGGUUAAGUGGGAAACGAAGUGGGAAGGCUCAGACAGCCAGGAUGUUGGCUUAGAAGCAGCCAUCAUUUAAAGAAAGCGUAAUAGCUCACUGGUCGAGUCGGCCCGCGCGGAAGAUGUAACGGGGCUAAACCAUGCACCGAAGCUGCGGCAGCGACACAAAGUGUUGUUGGGUAGGGGAGCGUUCUGUAAGCCUGCGAAGGUGUACUGUGAGGUAUGCUGGAGGUAUCAGAAGUGCGAAUGCUGACAUAAGUAACGAUAAUGCGGGUGAAAAACCCGCACGCCGGAAGACCAAGGGUUCCUGUCCAACGUUAAUCGGGGCAGGGUGAGUCGACCCCUAAGGCGAGGCUGAAAAGCGUAGUCGAUGGGAAACGGGUUAAUAUUCCCGUACUGGUGGUAACUGCGAUGGGGGAACGGAGAAGGCUAGGUUGUCCGGGCGACGGUCGUCCCGGUUCAAGCAGGUAGGCAGAGUGAUUAGGCAAAUCCGGUCACUUAAUGCUGAGAUGUGAUGACGAACCACCAAGGUGGUGAAGCAAUUGAUGCCCCGCUUCCAGGAAAAGCCUCUAAGCUUCAGGUUACCAACAAUCGUACCCCAAACCGACACAGGUGGUCAGGUAGAGAAUACUCAGGCGCUUGAGAGAACUCGGGUGAAGGAACUAGGCAAAAUGGUGCCGUAACUUCGGGAGAAGGCACGCUGGCGGUAGGUAAAGUCCCUCGCGGACGGCGCUGAAGCCAGUCGAAGAUACCAGCUGGCUGCAACUGUUUAUUAAAAACACAGCACUGUGCAAACACGAAAGUGGACGUAUACGGUGUGACGCCUGCCCGGUGCUGGAAGGUUAAUUGAUGGGGUCAGCCGUAAGGCGAAGCUCCUGAUCGAAGCCCCAGUAAACGGCGGCCGUAACUAUAACGGUCCUAAGGUAGCGAAAUUCCUUGUCGGGUAAGUUCCGACCUGCACGAAUGGCGUAAUGAUGGCCAGGCUGUCUCCACCCGAGACUCAGUGAAAUUGAACUCGCUGUGAAGAUGCAGUGUACCCGCGGCAAGACGGAAAGACCCCGUGAACCUUUACUAUAGCUUGACACUGAACAUUGAGCCUUGAUGUGUAGGAUAGGUGGGAGGCUUUGAAGUGUGGACGCCAGUCUGCAUGGAGCCAACCUUGAAAUACCACCCUUUAACGUUUGAUGUUCUAACCUAGGCCCAUAAACUGGGUCGGGGACCGUGUCUGGUGGGUAGUUUGACUGGGGCGGUCUCCUCCUAAAGAGUAACGGAGGAGCACGAAGGUUGGCUAAGCAUGGUCGGACAUCAUGCGGUUAGUGCAAAGGCAUAAGCCAGCUUGACUGCGAGAGUGACGGCUCGAGCAGGUACGAAAGUAGGUCUUAGUGAUCCGGUGGUUCUGAAUGGAAGGGCCAUCGCUCAACGGAUAAAAGGUACUCCGGGGAUAACAGGCUGAUACCGCCCAAGAGUUCAUAUCGACGGCGGUGUUUGGCACCUCGAUGUCGGCUCAUCACAUCCUGGGGCUGAAGUAGGUCCCAAGGGUAUGGCUGUUCGCCAUUUAAAGUGGUACGCGAGCUGGGUUUAGAACGUCGUGAGACAGUUCGGUCCCUAUCUGCCGUGGGCGUUGGAAGAUUGAGAGGGGUUGCUCCUAGUACGAGAGGACCGGAGUGAACGCACCACUGGUGUUCGGGUUGUCAUGCCAAUGGCAUUGCCCGGUAGCUAAGUGCGGAAGAGAUAACCGCUGAAAGCAUCUAAGCGGGAAACUUGCCUCGAGAUGAGUCUUCCCUGUC
RNAcentral lists this ribosomal RNA (2181 nucleotides) under Proteus mirabilis. Its description in RNAcentral is "partial 23S ribosomal RNA". It matches the Rfam family "Bacterial large subunit ribosomal RNA", at positions 657 to 2819 of the family's 2925-position model. Lineage: Bacteria; Pseudomonadati; Pseudomonadota; Gammaproteobacteria; Enterobacterales; Morganellaceae. The record is from RNAcentral.